Molecule: ribosomal RNA, 253 nt
Filed under: uncultured bacterium
Lineage: Bacteria
Description: partial 16S ribosomal RNA
Rfam family: Bacterial small subunit ribosomal RNA
Source: RNAcentral
UACGUAGGGACCAAGCGUUGUUCGGAUUUACUGGGCGUAAAGGGCGCGUAGGCUGCGCGGUAAGUCACUUGUGAAAUCUCUGAGCUUAACUCAGAACGGCCAAGUGAUACUGCAGUGCUAGAGUGUGGAAGGGGCAAUCGGAAUUCUUGGUGUAGCGGUGAAAUGCGUAGAUAUCAAGAGGAACACCUGAGGUGAAGACGGGUUGCUGGGCCAACACUGACGCUGAUGCGCGAAAGCCAGGGGAGCAAACAGG